GUUUCUGCUAAUUUAGUAAUGAAGCCUAUCCAGGUUGAUGAUAGCUUAUUAUUUUCAUAAGUAAAAAAACAAACAAAUGAGAUUAUAUAUAUAUAUAUAAAUAUAUAUUAAAAAAAGACACAGUAUUUAUCGUAGCACUAGUGGUCCAGCACCUCUUGGGUGAGGCUGUCCAGACACCAUGUGUUUUUAUUUGAGUCCAACUCAUUAAAAAAGAAUCAUCUCUGUCACUUCAAUCAAGUGAUUUGUUUAUUUCAGUUUAGGUUCCCCUUUUGUUGAGCCUUAGGUUCAGCUGCUGCCCCGGAAAUUUGGGUUUUGGGGAAGGCUGCUUGGUGGGCAAGGUCAGACUAAGCUGUUUGCAGCAUCCCAAGAGGUGUGGGUCUCUAGGCCCAUUACAGAUAAACAAAACAGCUGCAGGUUCAGGGAUUCAGGGAAGUGAGGUGGCCCAGGGGCACACAGCAAAGCAAGGGAACACAGGGUCUGUAGCCAGCAUGCUGUCUACCACUCUACCCUGCCUCUCACUGCCUGCCUUGCCCCUCUCUCCCAUCUCAAUGCUUGCCUUCCCUUGUUAAGAUGGCCAAAUAAUUCAUUACUCAGUUUAUUGCCUGGAAACUACCUGCCUUCAACCCAAGAGCUGCUGUGUGCCAGGCUGCCAAGAGGAAGCCAUUCCCAAGACAGAGGCCCUUAAGGACAGGGCUGUUUUCUUCCUUUCGGAGUCUUCACCAUCACUGCCCAACUCUGAUGGGAUUGAUGCUUUCUGUGGAGAAGUUGGUACCUCAAGGAGGCUGAUUCUAGGACCACUGGUCCCAGAGUGGAUGGAAACUUUGACUUCCUGGUCCUGAUCUCCCUACAGCUAAGGAAAGCUGCUCCCUUCAGCUUGGCCCCAGCGACUCUUAGGAAGGGGAGAUUCUAUGGGCCUUACAAAUGUCCCACCAGCUGUUUCACAUGGAUCCUCACAGCUGGUGGCACAACAGCAACAACAAAACCCACUAUUACAGGGCUGAGAUGCUGCCAGGACAUGGGUAGACCAUCUGUGGAGGGGACUGUCUGCCAAGGAAGAGGAGGGUCUAUGCAGAGGACACCUAGAUGGGCCAGGAUUUUACCUGCUUCACAGGGUGAGUGAAAAGCCUAGGCAACCUCUGCAAAUAUUAGGGUCAACUGUGGCAAACGUUUCCAGUCUGUAUCUGAGCAGGGUAAGCUUUUGUUCUGUUGGUGGACACAGAAAUCAGUGGUAGAACCUGAGAUGUUCUGUGUUCACCAGGCCUCACAAGGCCCACAGCUGGACAAAAUUGAGUUAGACCAUCUGUUAGUAAGGGACUAGGGCCUUGACUGAGAUCUCUCAAAAUUUUGCUUUAGGAGCUAAUCCUACAGGCUACUAUGUUUUCUCGGUUCCUGUCAGGGCCUUGGUUAGCAGCUCAUCAGGAGGUCAUGUCCCGUGUAAAAUUUCAUUUGUCCAAGGCUGGACCCGAGCUCUAAACUCAGGUUGGAAAUAUCAGGCUGUUAACAAUUUACAGGCCUCACAUUUGGAAAUGAAAACCAGAGGCAUUUGCAGAACAGUGGAACUUAGAAAACAUCUCCAGCAGUCCUCUCCUUUUACAGUGAAAGAAUCAGGUCCAGGAAAUUAAGUGACUUGACCAAAGCCGCACAGCAAGUAGUGGCAGAGCCAGGACUAACUAGUUCUGUGGGUUACACAGUCCUGUCUAGACCUAAAGCAAAAUGGCAAAUGAGCUUUGUAAGGGUUCAGCAGUGCCUGAGCAGCUGACACCUUUAGGGGUGUGACAAGGGGAGGGAUGGGUGCUGGGACAUGGGUUGUGGAGUGGCUGAGAGGGCCUUGGAUGGCUUGGGACUGCUGUGUGCUGCACUGGGCUGUGUGUCCACCUGGCUCACACUUGGUACCCAUGGCCACCUCCCCAUUUUCUGUGCCUUAUCUCACUGUUUCAGCCAAGUCCAAGUUGUUUACUCUGUUCCUCUCCAGAGAGGCUUUCUGUCCUAGUUGGACCGCUCACUUUGGGGACAUAAGUCUUUGUCCCACAAGCUGUGGGGAGGGCCAAAAUCAAGCUGCUGGAGCCAGUUCUUAGUCCAGUCCUGCUGCCAGAGGAGACCCAUAUGCAUCCCCAAUCCUAUUAGCCCGUUUCCAGGUUGGAAGCAGCUUAGUAAAGGGCUGGACCUGACCCUGGUGUGCAAAAGGAGGACCUGGCUGGGUCCAGUCCUGAGGUAGCACAUUUCCUAACUCACCUUCCCUUUGAGGCACAGAUGGUAGCUCCUUGCAGAUCAAGGGCCAAGUUGGCAGAUGACUCAGAGUCACUCCUCCAUCCCUUCCUCCUAGGGUCUGGGGCUAGGUGCACACUGGGAGCAGGGCUUCACACGCUAAAGAAGUAAGGGUUGCCUGGCUACCCAGCGCCUUCCCAGGCCUUAAGCACAAAGAUGAGGCAGAGGACUGUUGGGGCUGAGCGUUCCUUUGGUUGCUCACAACUCAGGUAUGCAUGUCAUUAGGCAGCUGGACAGCAGAGCCCGACUUCACCACCAACCACUGGCACUUGGACCUGUGGCCAGAUGGUGGCUUCUGGCUGUCCCAGUGCCCACCUCUGCAUAGGUUCCCUCCAUCAUCAACUACAGCUGAAACAGGCAUCCUCCACAUUGUGUACACUGGUUCUGCCUUUGUCCUUGCAAAUUGAUAUUCAGCAUUAGCAUGAAACUUGUGGUGUGAGAGGGUUGACAGAAUUCUAACACAAACAUCCUAUUAAAUUGUACUUGAGAUGAAAAAAUUCCUGUUGUAUUUUGACAGAAUUAUUUUUAUUAAAAUACACAUCCAUGAGCAA
RNAcentral lists this long non-coding RNA (2816 nucleotides) under Rattus norvegicus (Norway rat). RNAcentral's name for it is "long non-coding RNA NONRATT014638". The record is from RNAcentral. Lineage: Eukaryota; Metazoa; Chordata; Mammalia; Rodentia; Muridae.